This 426-nucleotide ribosomal RNA is filed under the name uncultured bacterium. RNAcentral describes it as "bacterial SSU rRNA". It matches the Rfam family "Bacterial small subunit ribosomal RNA", at positions 356 to 773 of the family's 1533-position model. The record is from RNAcentral.
GAGGAAUAUUGCGCAAUGGGGGCAACCCUGACGCAGCGACGCCGCGUGAGUGAGGAAGGCCUUCGGGUCGUAAAGCUCUGUCAAAGGGAAAGAAGUGCAUGGGGGCUAAUACCCUUCAUGUUUGACGGUACCCUUAAAGGAAGCACCGGCUAACUCCGUGCCAGCAGCCGCGGUAAUACGGAGGGUGCAAGCGUUGUUCGGAAUCACUGGGCGUAAAGGGCGCGUAGGCGGUUUGGUAAGUCAGAUGUGAAAGCCCACGGCUUAACCGUGGAAGUGCAUUUGAAACUGUCAGACUUGAGUACCAGAGGGGAAAGUGGAAUUCCCGGUGUAGAGGUGAAAUUCGUAGAUAUCGGGAGGAAUACCGGUGGCGAAGGCGACUUUCUGGCUGGAUACUGACGCUGGGGCGCGAAAGCGUGGGGAGCAAAC